GCGGAAUUAGCUCAGCUGGAUAGAGCGUCGGUCUACGAAACCGAAGGUCGCAGGUUCGACUCCUGCAUUCCGCGCCA
This 77-nucleotide transfer RNA is filed under the name Gammaproteobacteria bacterium. RNAcentral's name for it is "tRNA-Arg". It matches the Rfam family "tRNA". From Rfam's summary of the family: Transfer RNA (tRNA) molecules are approximately 80 nucleotides in length. RNAcentral also lists the same sequence under 7 other names. Lineage: Bacteria; Pseudomonadati; Pseudomonadota; Gammaproteobacteria. The record is from RNAcentral.